CUGUGGUCUAAAUCUGCCACAUUAUUGAAGGGGCAGAGAAAGCUCUCAGGCCAUUGGACUUAUUUCUAUUCUGGAUUAUUUCUAUUGGAAACUAUUAACCUUUGUCCAUGCAAGUUGGCAAAGUGAAGGAAUACAAAUGUUAUCUGUGAAAUUACAACGUUCAACGUUGGGCAAUGUACACUGGGGAUGAAGAGUGUGAGUGGAAUGGAUCGUUGCAGAGACAAAGGAUGUUCCCGUAUUUGUUUAUUGUGCGAGGCCCACCCCUCCCUUCCGUGUUGUUGAUGGCCAUCCACACAGUGAGAUGCCUCCUGAGGGUUUGACCACGGGGCAGGGGUUUCCAGUACCUGGUUGACUGGGAGGGUUAUGGCCUGGAGGGGAGAUGCUGGGUCCCCGCUAGAGACAUCCUGGACCCAACCCUCAUCACUGACUUCCACCGCCGGCACCCCGGUCAACCAGGACCACUCCGUAUCUGACACUUCCUCAAAAUAAGCUCUUCAGCAGAAGCGCCUCUUGGGGAGAGUGUCUCGGUUGGCCCUCUGCGACACAGCAAUCACCCACCACCACCAUAGCAGGAGUGUGACAAUCGUCCAAGAGGUGUCAUAACAGCUGCCUCGGUUGCGGCGACGUAAAUAACCAUGGCGACACGACGAACUACCUCCCCGACAAUGCAUGCUUCCCCCAACUGCCUCAUGACCCAAUGGAAGUCUGCCUGGCUGCCCCUACUGUGUGUAAGCAACUCAACACGGAGAGGGAAGAGAUCGUACUGUCAGACAGACGACCCAAGACAAGUGGUAACACUGUACUUGAACCAACCGUGCCACAAAGCAUACUUUACAUGGACAUUAGCAAGGUAUAACGGAGCUCGUAGGUUGUCACCAUAGCUGGCAAUAGGAUGCUAGCUCAUCUGCUAGCACCCUAAAUUGCAGAAAAUGUCAACUUUAUCAUAGGACAAUUGACGUCAUGCUAUAUUUUGGACGAGGUAAACUGAGCUUCAUAAUGAGCUUUUGGAAAUGAGGUGACAGGUCAGAGGUCAGCUCAAGCCAUAUAUCUCCUAUAGCGGUCCCCACCCCUCUUUUGAUGAUCCUGGGAUGGGCUCUGACCUCAAACCUCUGACUUCUGACCUCGGACGGGACCGGUCAAUCAAUCAAACCCCUGUUAUAAAAUGGGGCAGAGAAGUGUGCUUGAACUGAUAAGCUGUGGCCAGAAAAAGACAACAAAAUAUGUUUUAUUGUUCCAUAGUUUAAUUAGAGAACAUGUUCAAAACUGCCUUUUCCCACAUCUCUGCUAUCUGUUUAUAUUGGACAAAAAAAACAGAGCAAGAUUUUUUGCUAGUCAUGUCAUUCAAUUGAAUAAAGCUCAAUGCUUUAAUUAUAAAAGCACUUUUUCAUUUUUAUAACUAGGCCAGAUCCUAAGCCUGUCCUGAAGCAAGUAUUGGCUGGCACAGCAAGGCCAUAAGAAACUCCCUCAGCUAACAAGAGACUAAGAUGGGAACCUUGAGUUUGAGAUGGUAACCUGGAUUUGGCUUAUGAAGAGCUCUUAAUGAGCUCUUAAUGUCCCCCAGGGGACUGCUAGCUUGAGCAUUAAGCCAGCCCUCACCUCCACUAACCCUCCCUCGCCCCCCCCCCCCUUGCUCCUGUCAUCCAUCCUGUGCUUUCCAUCCGACAACACCUUAUCUCCUCCCCACAUCGUAGACGUUCAGACAGUGCUGCUUGUCCUCCUGGUGGUUCAGAUAAGAGAAUCUGUGAUCCUUAACGGCACCCUGUUCCCUAUAUAGUGCAGUACUUUUGACCAGAG
Molecule: long non-coding RNA, 1794 nt
Organism: Oncorhynchus tshawytscha (Chinook salmon)
Lineage: Eukaryota; Metazoa; Chordata; Actinopteri; Salmoniformes; Salmonidae
Exons: 3
Source: RefSeq, a predicted model, not a curated record